This 628-nucleotide ribosomal RNA is filed under the name uncultured bacterium. RNAcentral's name for it is "bacterial SSU rRNA". The stretch from base 1 to 535 matches the Rfam family "Bacterial small subunit ribosomal RNA", at positions 338 to 873 of the family's 1533-position model. The record is from RNAcentral.
CCUACGGGAGGCAGCAGUAAGGAAUAUUGGUCAAUGGAGGCAACUCUGAACCAGCCAUGCCGCGUGCAGGAAGACUGCCCUAUGGGUUGUAAACUGCUUUUAUCCGGGAAUAAACCUGCGUACGUGUAAGUAGCUGAAUGUACCGGAAGAAUAAGGAUCGGCUAACUCCGUGCCAGCAGCCGCGGUAAUACGGAGGAUCCAAGCGUUAUCCGGAUUUAUUGGGUUUAAAGGGUGCGUAGGCGGCCUGUUAAGUCAGGGGUGAAAGACGGUAGCUCAACUAUCGCAGUGCCCUUGAUACUGAUGGGCUUGAAUGGACUAGAGGUAGGCGGAAUGAGACAAGUAGCGGUGAAAUGCAUAGAUAUGUCUCAGAACACCGAUUGCGAAGGCAGCUUACUAUGGUCUUAUUGACGCUGAGGCACGAAAGCGUGGGGAUCAAACAGGAUUAGAUACCCUGGUAGUCCACGCCCUAAACGAUGAACACUCGCUGUUGGCGAUACACAGUCAGCGGCUAAGCGAAAGCGUUAAGUGUUCCACCUGGGGGAGGUACGCCCGACCGAAGGUAGAACGUACGAAGGAAAGUUAGUACGGACGUAGAGACGUUGCCGACGGACGACGACGAGGGAGGAGG